UAGGUGGCAAGCGUUGUCCGGAAUUAUUGGGCGUAAAGCGCGCGCAGGUGGUUUCUUAAGUCUGAUGUGAAAGCCCACGGCUCAACCGUGGAGGGUCAUUGGAAACUGGGAGACUUGAGUGCAGAAGAGGAUAGUGGAAUUCCAAGUGUAGCGGUGAAAUGCGUAGAGAUUUGGAGGAACACCAGUGGCGAAGGCGACUAUCUGGUCUGUAACUGACACUGAGGCGCGAAAGCGUGGGGAGCAAACAGGAUUAGAUACCCUGAUAGUCCACGCCGUAACGAUGAGUGCUAAGUGUUAGGGGGUUUCCCGCCCCUUUAGUGCUGCAGCUAACGCAUUAAGCACUCCGCCUGGGGGAGUACGGGUCGGCAAGGACUGAAAACUUAAAAGGUAUUUGGACGGGGGGCCGCAACAAGGCGGUGGAAGGCAUGGUGGUUUUAAAUUCGAAGCCAACCGCGAA
RNAcentral lists this ribosomal RNA (457 nucleotides) under Lysinibacillus sphaericus. RNAcentral describes it as "bacterial SSU rRNA". It matches the Rfam family "Bacterial small subunit ribosomal RNA", at positions 528 to 967 of the family's 1533-position model. The record is from RNAcentral. Lineage: Bacteria; Bacillati; Bacillota; Bacilli; Caryophanales; Bacillaceae.